Molecule: ribosomal RNA, 467 nt
Filed under: uncultured bacterium
Lineage: Bacteria
Description: partial 16S ribosomal RNA
Rfam family: Bacterial small subunit ribosomal RNA
Source: RNAcentral
GACGAACGCUGGCGGCGUGCUUAACACAUGCAAGUCGAACGGAAAGGCCCUGCUUUUGUGGGGUGCUCGAGUGGCGAACGGGUGAGUAACACGUGAGUAACCUGCCCUUGACUUUGGGAUAACUUCAGGAAACUGGGGCUAAUACCGGAUAGGAGCUCCUGCUGCAUGGUGGGGGUUGGAAAGUUUCGGCGGUUGGGGAUGGACUCGCGGCUUAUCAGCUUGUUGGUGGGGUAGUGGCUUACCAAGGCUUUGACGGGUAGCCGGCCUGAGAGGGUGACCGGCCACAUUGGGACUGGGACACGGCCCAGACCCCUACGGGGGGCAAGAGGGGGGAAUAUUGCACAAGGGGCGGAAGCCGGAUGCAGCAACGCCGGGGGGGGGAUGACGGCCUUCGGGUGGUAAACCGCUUUCGCCUGUGACGAAGGGUGGGGGGCGGUAAUGGGGAAAGAAGCACCGGCUAACUACGU